Molecule: long non-coding RNA, 273 nt
Organism: Drosophila willistoni
Lineage: Eukaryota; Metazoa; Arthropoda; Insecta; Diptera; Drosophilidae
Exons: 3
Source: RefSeq, a predicted model, not a curated record
GUGAUGGGUCUAGCGAAUGGUGAGGUCGACUGGUAGCCUGCGUUGGAGUCCCUUGUGAGAGAGAAGAAGGACUGCUAGUCUUUCGCUGUCUGUGUUCGUCAGGUUUGGCGAAAAACGUUUCUCUAGAUGGCUGGCAAAGGCUUCCAUUUUGCUCUCAGCUGUCUUAGUCCAUUGAAUAGAAGCUGAUGGGCUAUCCUGGAUUUUAAGCGGCCAGUUUGGGCAGUUUCAUCAUUUUUCUGUUAACGGGCACUAUUCCUCCAAUUUUGUAUGUGU